UCCGGUUGAUCCGCGGACCCGACUGCUAUUUGGGUGAGAAUAAGCCAUGCAAGUCGAAUGGGAUACCUAAAUUUCCCAUGGCAAACUGCUCAGUAACACAUGAUCAACUUACCCUAUAGAGAAAAAUAACCUCGGGAAACUGAGGAUAAUAUUUCAUAGUUGAAUAGGCUUGGAAAAGUUAUUCAAUAAAAAGGAUAAAAAAAAUGGUUUUUAUCUGCUAUAGGAUAGGAUCGUGGACGAUUAUGGUUGUUGGUGAGGUAACGGCUCACCAAGCCGAUAAUCGAUAGGGGCCGUGAGAGCGGGAGCCCCGAGAUGGGCACUGAGACAACGACCCAGGCCUUACGAGGCGCAGCAGGCGCGGAACCUCCGCAAUACACGAAAGUGUGACGGGGUUACCCAAAGUGUUCAGUUUUGAACUGUGGUAGGUGAGUAAUGUCCCCUACUAGAAAGGAGAGGGCAAGGCUGGUGCCAGCCGCCGCGGUAAAACCAGCUCUUCAAGUGGUCGGGAUAAUUAUUGGGCUUAAAGUGUCCGUAGCCGGUUUAGUAAGUUCCUGGUAAAAUCGGGUAGCUUAACUAUCUGUAUGCUAGGAAUACUGCUAUACUAGAGGGCGGGAGAGGUCUGAGGUACUACAGGGGUAGGGGUGAAAUCUUAUAAUCCUUGUAGGACCACCAGUGGCGAAGGCGUCAGACUGGAACGCGCCUGACGGUGAGGGACGAAAGCCAGGGGAGCGAACCGGAUUAGAUACCCGGGUAGUCCUGGCCGUAAACGAUGCAUACUAGGUGAUGGCACGGCCAUGAGCCGUGUCAGUGCCGUAGGGAAACCGUUAAGUGUGCCGCCUGGGAAGUACGGUCGCAAGGCUAAAACUUAAAGGAAUUGGCGGGGGAGCACCACAAGGGGUGAAGCUAACGGUUCAAUUGGAUUCAACGCCGGA
This 932-nucleotide ribosomal RNA is filed under the name uncultured archaeon. Its description in RNAcentral is "bacterial SSU rRNA". It matches the Rfam family "Archaeal small subunit ribosomal RNA", at positions 1 to 922 of the family's 1478-position model. The record is from RNAcentral.